This 206-nucleotide long non-coding RNA is filed under the name Homo sapiens (human). RNAcentral describes it as "lncAB447.1". The record is from RNAcentral. Lineage: Eukaryota; Metazoa; Chordata; Mammalia; Primates; Hominidae.
UUUAUUAUUAUACUUUAAGUUUUAGGGUACAUGUGCACAAUGUGCAGGUUAGUUACAUAUGUAUACAUGUGCCAUGCUGGUGUGCUGCACCCACUAACUCGUCAUUUAGCAUUAGGUAUAUCUCCUAAUGCUAUCCCUCCCCCCUCCCCCCACCCCACAACAGUCCCCAGAGUGUGAUGUUCCCCUUCCUGUGUCCAUGUGUUCUC